Molecule: RNA transcript, 784 nt
Organism: Leptinotarsa decemlineata (Colorado potato beetle)
Lineage: Eukaryota; Metazoa; Arthropoda; Insecta; Coleoptera; Chrysomelidae
Gene name: protein phosphatase inhibitor 2
Source: RefSeq, a predicted model, not a curated record
AUUGACAUUAAUUAAGACAGAUUUGGCAACUUGACCAUUUGUUUUACAAUGGCAGAAAAUUUACAAAAAAGGCCAUCCAAAGGCAUUUUAAAAAAUUCUAGUAGUUUUGAUAAACAAGAUUUGCAGCCUAAUGCAAAAAAAGCCAAAGAAACGAAAUGGGACGAAAUGAAUAUAAUAGCAACUCUUCAUCCUCCGGGAAAAGAUUAUGGUCACAUGAAAAUAGCAGAACCUAAAACGCCAUACAAUUAUGCUGAAAUGGAUGAUAUUGAUGGUUUAGAUGCAAAAGACCUAGCAGAAAAAAUCAAAAUAGGAGCAGAUAAACCACCCAAAGCAAUGCUGGUAGAGUCCGAUGACUCUGAUGAUGAAGAACUGACUGAAGAGGAAAAAGAACGAAAGAGAGAAUUUGAAAUGAAACGAAAAAAACAUUAUAACGAAUUUCACGCAUUACAAUUGGCAAAAAAAUUAUUAGAAGAGGAGGAAGAUGAUGAAGACGAGGGUGAAAGUGGUGCUCAUUCUAGUAAUAAAUCAGAUUAAAACGAAAAUACAUUCGUAGAUUUCCCAUUGUUGUGAUGAAACUUUCAAAGACAGAGCUGUAUAUACUCUGCUCUCAUCAGAAAAUUGUAUUGGGUUUGAUUCCGACAUGAAGCAGAUAUCUGUCUCUCAACAAUUGAACUAACCAUGCUGUCAGAGAAGUGGCGCGAGGAUUUAGUAACAAACUUGCACAUAUCAGUUGAUUAUUGGCUUAUAGGUUGUAUGUGUUUCAAUAAAAUGAAAAUGAAAUGAA